ACGAACGCUGGCGGCGUGCUUAACACAUGCAAGUCGAGCGGUAAGGCCCUUUCGGGGGUACGACGAGCGGCGAACGGGUGAGUAACACGUGGGUGACCUGCCCUCAGCUCUGGGAUAAGCCUGGGAAACUGGGUCUAAUACUGGAUAUGACUCCACGGUGCAUGUCGUGGGGUGGAAAGCCUUGUGCGGCUGAGGAUGGGCCCGCGGCCUAUCAGCUUGUUGGUGGGGUGAGGCCUACCAAGGCGACGACGGGUAGCCGCUCGAG
RNAcentral lists this ribosomal RNA (265 nucleotides) under uncultured bacterium. RNAcentral's name for it is "partial 16S ribosomal RNA". It matches the Rfam family "Bacterial small subunit ribosomal RNA", at positions 29 to 296 of the family's 1533-position model. The record is from RNAcentral.